AUCCACAUCCUCGAUUAAUGUUCUCUCACCUCCAUCGAUUAUUAAUCUCCAUUUAUCUCCAUCGAUUAUUAAUCUCUUCUCAUCUCCAUCUAUAUUCUCUUUAUUUGACUUUCUUAUCUGUGAGGGCUCUUUCUUUCUUUAGAUUAACCUCAUCCCAUCUCCAUCUGUAUCCUUGAUUAAUCUCCUCUCAUCUCCAUCU
This 199-nucleotide long non-coding RNA is filed under the name Elaeis guineensis (African oil palm). Its description in RNAcentral is "long non-coding RNA (EGUI_LNC028147)". Lineage: Eukaryota; Viridiplantae; Streptophyta; Magnoliopsida; Arecales; Arecaceae. The record is from RNAcentral.